RNAcentral lists this ribosomal RNA (491 nucleotides) under uncultured bacterium. Its description in RNAcentral is "partial 16S ribosomal RNA". It matches the Rfam family "Bacterial small subunit ribosomal RNA", at positions 29 to 507 of the family's 1533-position model. The record is from RNAcentral.
GUGAACGCUGGCGGUAGGCCUAACACAUGCACGUCGAACGGCAGCACAGUAAGAGCUUGCUCUUCCGGGUGGCGAGUGGCGGACGGGUGAGGAAUACAUCGGAAUCUACUUUUUCGUGGGGGAUAACGUAGGGAAACUUACGCUAAUACCGCAUACGACCUACGGGUGAAAGCAGGGGAUCUUCGGACCUUGCGCGAUUGAAUGAGCCGAUGUCGGAUUAGCUAGUUGGCGGGGUAAAGGCCCACCAAGGCGACGAUCCGUAGCUGGUCUGAGAGGAUGAUCAGCCACACUGGAACUGAGACACGGUCCAGACUCCUACGGGAGGCAGCAGUGGGGAAUAUUGGACAAUGGGCGCAAGCCUGAUCCAGCCAUACCGCGUGGGUGAAGAAGGCCUUCGGGUUGUAAAGCCCUUUUGUUGGGAAAGAAAAGCAGCAGGUUAAUACCCCGCUGUUCUGACGGUACCCAAAGAAUAAGCACCGGCUAACUUCGUG